AUUCAGACAGAUAGAAAGCCAUGGGAAGCAAGAAGCAGAAAGUCAACAAAAUCUGGAAGAGAAGGGCGAAGCCAGGAGAGACCACCAUGUGCACUGCAUGUGACAUAGGAGCCUGGGACCAAGAAUCACCAGCAGCCAACCCCAGAAUGCCAGUCUUUGAGAAGAAAGCAUCACCUUGAUGAUGCAUUGAUUUGGACUUCUCCUAGCCUCAAAACUAAACCUGCAUUCUAGCUGUGGAGGAGACCACACCAUAUAUUUGCUGCUCUUCUAAGGCAUCUACUGCAUCUUACCAGUCAACAACCCAACCUUACAGGAAAUGGUCUCCCAGCUAGCACUGCAACUGAACAUUCAUCAGGUCAUUCCACAUUUUCUUCAAUCCAGACACAUAUGGAUGAUGGGGCAUGUGAACAUUAUGGGCCUGAGCCCAUGGUCAAGCUUCCCAUUACUAUUUCCUGGUUGGAGCCAAUGUUGAACAGGUUCCUAAAGCAUUUGGUCCAUGCAUGGUGAUGCUGUCAGGGGAUGAAAAGCAGUGUGCAUACAUGUGUCUAUCCUUUGAAGACAAAGUUCUGCCCACUCUGUGACGGAAAAAUUUCAAUAUUAUUAACCUGCUUUCAGGUGGUCUCUGCCAUUGGGAAGUGGGACACUUAGCAGUUGUGGGAGCCAGAUCAGCUGUAUGUAAGGGAAAUCCAUGUGCUGCUCUCAUGCAUAGCUUCCAUCCUUCAUGUCACAUUGUUCAUGGCCCACUAGACAACCACCAAGCGAGAUGGGAAUACAGGCUGACUGACAUCCACAAGACACAUCUUUUGUUCACCUGAUGAUGAAGAGCAUCCUCACAUUUUGUCUCCAUUCUGAGACUUCCAUCUGCAGGCCUCUCUCCCAGAAAUCCUUGUCACUGAUUUUAUCAUCUUGUUUUCUCAUGUCCUGGCAGACUAUCUAACCCAUUAGCCAUAAUCUAUGAAUGUGUAGAUCCAGAUGUGCUUCUUGAAGUUCUGCCAAAUAGAAGGAUUUCCUUUCACCACUGUCUGUGGGACAGCAACUUCCACUGCUGAAUGUGCAGAUCGUCUGUAAACCAGGCUUGAAUUCCCUCCUCUGUUAUCUGGUCACAGGCAACUCUCCAUGAGGCCCUGGGUGUUGGCUGAGGGAGAAGUGGUGAAGCAGUAGGAGCAGGUACCAUGGGGGUCUGAGUCACCUGCUCAUGCAAUUUACUUGGGCCUUUCAGGCCUGCUUGGGCUCAAACUCUUGUACCAUUCCUGUUUUGUAAUACAACUGCUGCACAUGUCCUAUUUUAUAGUUUGGUGGAUCAUAAAGGACCCAGUUCAUGAUGGCAGUUCAGGUCACAGUCAAUUGGUGUUCCACUUGCUGUUCUCUACCAAGUCUAAGUAGUAAGCUGUAUUAGACAGGGUUCUCCAGAGAAAUAGAACCAACAGCAUAUAUAUAUAUAUAUAUAUACAUAUACAUAUAUAUA
This is a long non-coding RNA of Choloepus didactylus (southern two-toed sloth), 1465 nucleotides long. RefSeq lists it as uncharacterized. Lineage: Eukaryota; Metazoa; Chordata; Mammalia; Pilosa; Megalonychidae. The transcript has 2 exons. The record is from RefSeq and is a predicted model, not a curated record.